Molecule: ribosomal RNA, 817 nt
Filed under: uncultured bacterium
Lineage: Bacteria
Description: bacterial SSU rRNA
Rfam family: Bacterial small subunit ribosomal RNA
Source: RNAcentral
AGAGUUUGAUCCUGGCUCAGGAUGAACGCUAGCUACAGGCUUAACACAUGCAAGUCGAGGGGCAUCAGUUUGGUUUGCUUGCAAACCAAAGCUGGCGACCGGCGCACGGGUGAGUAACACGUAUCCAACCUGCCUCAUACUCGGGGAUAGCCUUUCGAAAGAAAGAUUAAUAUCCGAUAGCAUAUAUUUCCCGCAUGGGUUUUAUAUUAAAGAAAUUCGGUAUGAGAUGGGGAUGCGUUCCAUUAGUUUGUUGGGGGGGUAACGGCCCACCAAGACUACGAUGGAUAGGGGUUCUGAGAGGAAGGUCCCCCACAUUGGAACUGAGACACGGUCCAAACUCCUACGGGAGGCAGCAGUGAGGAAUAUUGGUCAAUGGGCGAUGGCCUGAACCAGCCAAGUAGCGUGAAGGAUGACUGCCCUAUGGGUUGUAAACUUCUUUUAUAAAGGAAUAAAGUCGGGUAUGCAUACCCGUUUGCAUGUACUUUAUGAAUAAGGAUCGGCUAACUCCGUGCCAGCAGCCGCGGUAAUACGGAAGAUCCGAGCGUUAUCCGGAUUUAUUGGGUUUAAAGGGAGCGUAGAUGGAUGUUUAAGUCAGUUGUGAAAGUUUGCGGCUCAACCGUAAAAUUGCAGUUGAUACUGGAUGUCUUGAGUGCAGUUGAGGCAGGCGGAAUUCGUGGUGUAGCGGUGAAAUGCUUAGAUAUCACGAAGAACUCCGAUUGCGAAGGCAGCCUGCUAAGCUGCAACUGACAUUGAGGCUCGAAAGUGUGGGUAUCAAACAGGAUUAGAUACCCUGGUAGUCCACACGGUAAACGAUGAA